Molecule: non-coding RNA, 121 nt
Filed under: marine actinobacterium K362
Lineage: Bacteria; Bacillati; Actinomycetota; Actinomycetes
Also listed under: 1 other name
Description: Marine gamma TPP sequence
Rfam family: TPP riboswitch aptamer (THI element)
About the family: Vitamin B(1) in its active form thiamin pyrophosphate (TPP) is an essential coenzyme that is synthesised by coupling of pyrimidine and thiazole moieties in bacteria. The previously detected thiamin-regulatory element, thi box was extended, resulting in a new, highly conserved RNA secondary structure, the THI element, which is widely distributed in eubacteria and also occurs in some archaea.
Source: RNAcentral
CGCAAACCUAAGGGGUGGCUUUUGCCUGAGAUGCCUUGAUCUGCUUGUUACUGUCGAUCAACAGCGAACCCUUGAACCUGAUCCGGUUAAUACCGGCGUAGGAAUAGGUGUCCCCAACCGA